AUGUGUUAUUUCUUUUAUAAUUUAGUAUUCUUACAAUUGCUAUCUUUAAAGUCCCAGAAGCACCAAAGAAAAUUGCCAGACAAGAAAGAGUAUCCAUUGCUGUUCCAAAAAGAAAAGUGUCUCCACCACCAGAAGUACCAACAGAAGAAGAACACUGGGCUAUGUCAGAGGAAGUAUCCAUUUCUCUUCACACAGAAAAGGAGAUUUCAUACACAGUGCCUGAAAUGCGCAAGACAGUUGUCCGAAAAGAAAAAGUAUAUGUUGAAGUUCCUCAGUAUGAAGAGGAAGAAGAGAUUCCAACAUAUGAAGAAGAAGAAGCCACCAGAUAUGAGGAGGAAGUAAUCCAUUACAAGGAGGAAGUCCACCAUUAUGAAGAAGUUAGUCACUACGAGGAGGAAGUUCCUCAGUAUGAAGAAGUUCCUCAAUAUGAAGAGGAAGAAGUCACCCAUUAUGAAGAAGCAGCUGCUUAUUAUGAAGAAGUUCCUGAAUAUGAGGAGGAAGAGCCAGAAGUUCCCCAGUAUGAAGAGGAGGCUCCCCCACGAGUUAGAGGUAUACUUUAAUUUUAGGAUUUGUGUGAGAAAAAGUAGUACAUUUUAAUUCUGUUAAUAUACCAAAGUUUUGGUUUAGU
Molecule: long non-coding RNA, 628 nt
Filed under: Athene cunicularia (burrowing owl)
Lineage: Eukaryota; Metazoa; Chordata; Aves; Strigiformes; Strigidae
Description: lncRNA (ENSACUG00000006063.1)
Source: RNAcentral